RNAcentral lists this ribosomal RNA (263 nucleotides) under uncultured bacterium. Its description in RNAcentral is "partial 16S ribosomal RNA". It matches the Rfam family "Bacterial small subunit ribosomal RNA", at positions 793 to 1055 of the family's 1533-position model. The record is from RNAcentral.
GUCCAUGCCGUAAACGAUGAUUACUAGGUGUUGGGGAUUGACCCCCUCAGUGCCGCAGUUAACACAAUAAGUAAUCCACCUGGGGAGUACGACCGCAAGGUUGAAACUCAAAGGAAUUGACGGGGCCCGCGACAAGCAGUGGGAGUAUGUGGUUUAAUUCGAAGCAACGCGAAGAACCUUACCAGGUCUUGACAUCCGAUGCAUAACACAGAGAUGUAGUGAAAUCCUUCGGGACAUCGAGACAGGUGGUGCAUGGUUGUCGU